This 330-nucleotide ribosomal RNA is filed under the name uncultured Hydrogenophaga sp. RNAcentral's name for it is "bacterial SSU rRNA". It matches the Rfam family "Bacterial small subunit ribosomal RNA", at positions 1047 to 1382 of the family's 1533-position model. The record is from RNAcentral. Lineage: Bacteria; Pseudomonadati; Pseudomonadota; Betaproteobacteria; Burkholderiales; Comamonadaceae.
GGCUGUCGUCAGCUCGUGUCGUGAGAUGUUGGGUUAAGUCCCGCAACGAGCGCAACCCUUAUCAUUAGUUUGCUACGCAAGGGCACUCUAAUGAGACUGCCGGUGACAAACCGGAGGAAGGUGGGGAUGACGUCAAGUCCUCAUGGCCCUUAUGGGUGGGGCUACACACGUCAUACAAUGGAUGGUACAAAGGGUCGCCAACCCGCGAGGGGGAGCCAAUCCCAUAAAGCCAUUCGUAGUCCGGAUCGCAGUCUGCAACUCGACUGCGUGAAGUCGGAAUCGCUAGUAAUCGUGGAUCAGAAUGUCACGGUGAAUACGUUCCCGGGUCUU